RNAcentral lists this ribosomal RNA (203 nucleotides) under uncultured bacterium. RNAcentral describes it as "partial 16S ribosomal RNA". It matches the Rfam family "Bacterial small subunit ribosomal RNA", at positions 9 to 205 of the family's 1533-position model. The record is from RNAcentral.
GUAGUUUGAUCAUGGCUCAGGACGAACGCUGGCGGCACGCCUAACACAUGCAAGUCGAACGAGCGAGGGAGAGCUUGCUUUCUCGAGCGAGUGGCGAACGGGUGAGUAACGCGUGAGGAACCUGCCUCAAAGAGGGGACGAACAGUUGGAAACGACUGCUAAUACCGCAUAAGCCCACGGUGCCGCAUGGCACAGAGGGAAAA